GGUGACAGAGUGAGAGAGGGGGUGACUAGUGACCGAGUGAGGGAGGGAGUGGGUGACUAGUGACAGAGUGAGGAAGGGGGUGACACAGUGAUAGUCACCCCAUUCCUCCCUCUGUCACUAAUCACCACCUCCCUCACUCUCACUAGUCACCCCUUCCCUCUCUCACUCUGUCACUAGUCACACCCUCCCUCUCUCUGUCACUAGUCACACCCUUACUGUCACUAGUCACACCCUUACUCACUGUCACUAGUCACAC
Non-coding RNA from Pelobates cultripes (western spadefoot toad), 256 nucleotides. The record is from the annotation of a GenBank genome assembly. Lineage: Eukaryota; Metazoa; Chordata; Amphibia; Anura; Pelobatidae.